RNAcentral lists this long non-coding RNA (1910 nucleotides) under Gossypium barbadense (sea-island cotton). RNAcentral's name for it is "long non-coding RNA (GBAR_LNC018911)". The record is from RNAcentral. Lineage: Eukaryota; Viridiplantae; Streptophyta; Magnoliopsida; Malvales; Malvaceae.
UUUGCAGUGUGAGUUCCGAAAGUGUAGGUAGUAAUGAACUCCUCCGAAUCACCCAAAAGCUCGAACCUUUGACGUGGGACAACGAAGUGAAUGGUUCCUCUCAUGGAGCAGUUGGAACAGUUGCAUUUCCAAGCAACAACACUAGUAGGUGCUUGGACAUGCCAUCUUACAUUCUUACAGUGGCAACAGCCAUAGUGCAGUACUAACUCAGAGUCUAUGCCAACAACAACGAUGGUGAGCACAAGUUUAUCCUAAACUGAUUACGUAGUCUGAAACUCAGUUCAAAGGCAUUAGCAGCCUGACAACCAUCAUGCAAUGAAACAAUUAAUCCCAGAACUCCAUUACUCGGUUCAUAACUCAGUUCAAAUGCAAUAGCAUCUUAAGUACCAUCAAGAUUCAUGAAAUGAAACCAUUAAUCCCAAAUCUUCAUAACUCAGUUCAAAUGCAAUAGCAUCCUAACAACAAUCAAGCAAUGAACCAUUUCCACUUCUCUUUUAACCCCACAAAACGCAUAAAUAUAAUCAAUGAAAACUGAACACAGCACCCUUAAUCUUCAUCUUAAGAAAAAAAAAAGAAGGAAAACAAGUGUCAACACCUUACAUGGAAAGAAGAAAAAAAAUCCCAAAAAUCAACAGCUUAUAGAACAAAAGAUAAAAUCAAAAACCUGUUUAUCUUCAUCACAAAAUGGGGAAAUGAACUAGAGAUGAACAUACUAACUAGAAUAAGCAAAAUCAAAACAGUCAGCAGGCUAGAAGCAUUUGGAAAAUUAAUUGAAACGCACACAAAAUUUUCAAUGUUAUAUAUUAGUUCAGUUAAUAAGAGGAGCUUUUGUUUUUAUUGAUUAAAUUUUUAUCAGUCUGAAAAAUAUUAAUUUCUAAAUAUUUAAAAUGAACAACAAACACUGAAGCAGCUGGCUUAACAACGUAAGAAUCUCACAUGGAAAGGAACAAUGUUAGCACUUCUCACUAUGAACCGGUUAAAGCAAUAUAUCUACGCUUGUAAGUGUCUACCCAUACCAACAAGUGCUUAGAGGAAGUGACAGUGGACUGCUUUCUUGGGCAUUUGGACUGAGUUUGAAUCCUAAAGUCGUAAUUGUUGGGAGGACCUUACCUGAAUACCACUCCCGACCUGAACAGGGUUCGUCUCAUACCAUAAAACGGAUGAGGACAGCUCUGGUUAUAGAAAAAAGAAGAAAGGGUCCACCCAUAUAUAUACAUAUAUAUUGCGUAAAUCAUAACAUAGAGUUUAUUCAUAGCAAACUCCAAUUACAGCAAAACUUUUAUGGCUACCAACAAGAGAACAAAAGUUAGAACACAUAUACAUACAGACAUACAGACAGACAGACACACAAGUACCAUACAUAUAGCAUCCAGUUCCAUGAAGCCCCAAUACACAUCGGAUGUAAAGUAGAAGCUAAACGACUGCAUUUUUAAAAGACAAUCAAAUUAAGGGUAAUCCUCUUUGUGAAAGCCAUUGAUAAACCUGAAAUGAGAGCUACUUGGUGGAAUGAGUUUUUGAUUGUAAAGCAAUGCCACUCUGAUCAUUCCCAAUUCUUGCCAUCGAAAUUCCGAAUCUCAACAUGGGAAAGCGUUCCAGGGUCUAAACAUGCAAGUGUCACAGCAAUGCCAUCGGGGUUCGACCGUUGGGUAUAGAAUGAAGUUAUUCCACAAACCUUACAAAACGUAUGCUUUGCAGUGUGAGUUCCGAAAGUGUAGGUAGUAAUGAACUCCUCCGAAUCACCCAAAAGCUCGAACCUUUGACGUGGGACAACGAAGUGAAUGGUUCCUCUCAUGGAGCAGUUGGAACAGUUGCAUUUCCAAGCAACAACACUAGUAGGUGCUUGGACAUGCCAUCUUACUUUCUUACAGUGGCAACCACCAUUGUGCAGUACUAACUCGGAUUCCAUGCUG